GUCCAAUGUACGUUACCUCCAUUGUUCUUACCUGUGUCUCCGUUAUCAUACUGCUCAUCAACCUAGGGAUUGGUGUGUUUAUGACAAGAUUUGGACAUCUUCCAUUUAUGAAACGACGGAUGAACAGCACCAAUACGUCCCCCAAACCGUUCGCCAGCAUCGAGGAUUCCGAACACGCAAUGGCAGGAAUAACAUCUGAUCAGGAACG
This is a long non-coding RNA of Mizuhopecten yessoensis (Yesso scallop), 208 nucleotides long. RefSeq lists it as uncharacterized. NCBI's taxonomy places the organism in Eukaryota, Metazoa, Mollusca, Bivalvia, Pectinida, Pectinidae. The record is from RefSeq and is a predicted model, not a curated record. The transcript is spliced from 4 exons.